Molecule: long non-coding RNA, 519 nt
Filed under: Setaria viridis
Lineage: Eukaryota; Viridiplantae; Streptophyta; Magnoliopsida; Poales; Poaceae
Description: long non-coding RNA (SVIR_LNC004842)
Source: RNAcentral
UCAAAAUCCAUUCAUUAUUUCAUCAUCAACAUAGGCCCCUUUUCAAAUGCAUGCUAUAUUCAUUGAAAAAUGUUCGUGGGGAAGCAACUAGCAAAAAAAGAUGCCACGAGUGAUUGCAAUAAAAUGUUUCAUCUCUAGAGUUGGAGAAAAUCUUGUGGGAGGAUGUGCGAGGCAGUGGUGCACAUCAGUGAGGUAGAAUGAAAGCCCAAAGAGAAACGGAGGAAGAAAUCGAUUUUUCUAAGGUAAAGAGAUGACGGUCAACAAAUAGAUCGCAUAAUUCUUUAUACCUUUCUAGUAAGCAAAGGAUUUUUAUAAAAGUAUUGAAACGAUAAAUGAAUUUUAAAACUAUGAAACAAGUAAAAUUACAGAUCCACAGUCAGUCAAACAAACAACAACAUUGCUAUGGAAUUAAAACAAUCAAAUAAGAGUAUGUCAAAUAUAUAUAAAUAAAUACCAAGGUCUUAGAAAUAAAUCCUAGAAAUAAAUACAUAUAUAGUUAAAAAUGUCUAAACAAAUGAC